AGAGUUUGAUCCUGGCUCAGGAUGAACGCUAGCGGCAGGCUUAAUACAUGCAAGUCGUGGGGCAGCGCAGUCCCGCAGCAAUGCGGGAUGGGCGGCGACCGGCAAACGGGUGCGGAACACGUACGCAACCUUCCUUCAAAUGGGGAAUAGCCCAGGGAAACUUGGAUUAAUACCCCGUAACAUUACGAGAUGGCAUCAUUUUGUAAUUAUAGCUACGGCGUUUGAAGAUGGGCGUGCGCCUGAUUAGGUAGUUGGCGGGGUAACGGCCCACCAAGCCUGCGAUCAGUAACUGGUGUGAGAGCACGACCAGUCACACGGGCACUGAGACACGGGCCCGACUCCUACGGGAGGCAGCAGUAAGGAAUAUUGGUCAAUGGACGCAAGUCUGAACCAGCCAUGCCGCGUGGAGGAUGAAGGUCCUCUGGAUUGUAAACUUCUUUUAUUUGGGAAGAAACCCACGGUUUCUACUGUGGUUGACGGUACCAGAUGAAUAAGCACCGGCUAACUCCGUGCCAGCAGCCGCGGUAAUACGGAGGGUGCAAGCGUUAUCCGGAUUCACUGGGUUUAAAGGGUGCGUAGGCGGGCAGGUAAGUCAGUGGUGAAAUCCCCGAGCUUAACUUGGGAACUGCCGUUGAUACUAUCUGUCUUGAAUACUAUGGAGGUAAGCGGAAUAUGUCAUGUAGCGGUGAAAUGCUUAGAUAUGACAUAGAACACCAAUUGCGAAGGCAGCUUGCUACACAGUUAUUGACGCUGAGGCACGAAAGCGUGGGGAUCAAACAGGAUUAGAUACCCUGGUAGUCCACGCCCUAAACGAUGGAUACUCGACAUCAGCGAUACACUGUUGGUGUCUGAGCGAAAGCAUUAAGUAUCCCACCUGGGAAGUACGACCGCAAGGUUGAAACUCAAAGGAAUUGGCGGGGGUCCGCACAAGCGGUGGAGCAUGUGGUUUAAUUCGACGAUGCGCGAGGUACCUUACCUGGGCUAGAAUGCAUUUUGACCGUGGGUGAAAGCUCACUUUGUAGCAAUACACAAUUUGUAAGGUGCUGCAUGGCUGUCGUCAGCUCGUGCCAUGAGGUGUUGGGUUAAGUCCCGCAACGAGCGCAACCCCCAUCAUUAGUUGCCAUCAGGUAAAGCUGGGAACUCUAAUGAAACUGCCGUCGUAAGACGCGAGGAAGGAGGGGAUGAUGUCAAGUCAUCAUGGCCUUUAUGCCC
Molecule: ribosomal RNA, 1212 nt
Filed under: metagenome
Description: bacterial SSU rRNA
Rfam family: Bacterial small subunit ribosomal RNA
Source: RNAcentral